UACGUAGGUCCCGAGCGUUGUCCGGAUUUAUUGGGCGUAAAGCGAGCGCAGGUGGUUUAUUAAGUCUGGUGUAAAAGGCAGUGGCUCAACUAUUGUAUGCAUUGGAAACUGGUAGACUUGAGUGCAGGAGAGGAGAGUGGAAUUCCAUGUGUAGCGGUGAAAUGCGUAGAUAUAUGGAGGAACACCGGUGGCGAAAGCGGCUCUCUGGCCUGUAACUGACACUGAGGCUCGAAAGCGUGGAGAGCAAACAGG
RNAcentral lists this ribosomal RNA (252 nucleotides) under uncultured bacterium. RNAcentral's name for it is "partial 16S ribosomal RNA". It matches the Rfam family "Bacterial small subunit ribosomal RNA", at positions 524 to 776 of the family's 1533-position model. The record is from RNAcentral.